GAUGAACGCUGGCGGCGUGCCUAAUACAUGCAAGUCGAGCGAACAGACGAGGAGCUUGCUCCUCUGACGUUAGCGGCGGACGGGUGAGUAACACGUGGAUAACCUACCUAUAAGACUGGGAUAACUUCGUGAAACCGGAGCUAAUACCGGAUAAUAUAUUGAACCGCAUGGUUCAAUAGUGAAAGACGGUUUUGCUGUCACUUAUAGAUGGAUCCGCGCCGCAUUAGCUAGUUGGUAAGGUAACGGCUUACCAAGGCAACGAUGCGUAGCCGACCUGAGAGGGUGAUCGGCCACCCUGGAACUGAGACACGGUCCAGACUCCUACGGGAGGCAGCAGUAGGGAAUCUUCCGCAAUGGGCGAAAGCCUGACGGAGCAACGCCGCGUGAGUGAUGAAGGUCUUCGGAUCGUAAAACUCUGUUAUUAGGGAAGACCAAAUGUGUAAGUAACUAUGCACGUCUUGACGGUACCUAAUCAGAAAGCCACGGCUAACUACGUG
Molecule: ribosomal RNA, 497 nt
Filed under: uncultured bacterium
Lineage: Bacteria
Description: partial 16S ribosomal RNA
Rfam family: Bacterial small subunit ribosomal RNA
Source: RNAcentral